UCGAAAGAGAGCCGUAACACAGGUGCUGCAUGGCUGUCGUCAGCUCGUGUCGUGAGAUGUUGGGUUAAGUCCCGCAACGAGCGCAACCCUUGUCAUUAGUUGCUACGAAAGGGCACUCUAAUGAGACUGCCGGUGACAAACCGGAGGAAGGUGGGGAUGACGUCAAGUCCUCAUGGCCCUUAUAGGUGGGGCUACACACGUCAUACAAUGGCUGGUACAAAGGGUUGCCAACCCGCGAGGGGGAGCCAAUCCCAUAAAGCCAGUCGUAGUCCGGAUCGCAGUCUGCAACUCGACUGCGUGAAGUCGGAAUCGCUAGUAAUCGUGGAUCAGCAUGUCACGGUGAAUACGUUCCCGGGUCUU
Molecule: ribosomal RNA, 360 nt
Filed under: uncultured Hydrogenophaga sp.
Lineage: Bacteria; Pseudomonadati; Pseudomonadota; Betaproteobacteria; Burkholderiales; Comamonadaceae
Description: bacterial SSU rRNA
Rfam family: Bacterial small subunit ribosomal RNA
Source: RNAcentral